This 231-nucleotide ribosomal RNA is filed under the name Candidatus Woesebacteria bacterium. RNAcentral's name for it is "partial 23S ribosomal RNA". It matches the Rfam family "Bacterial large subunit ribosomal RNA", at positions 2744 to 2925 of the family's 2925-position model. The record is from RNAcentral. Lineage: Bacteria; Candidatus Woeseibacteriota.
GGUAGCUAUGUUUCUUAUAGAUAACCGCUGAAAGCAUCUCAAGUGGGAAGCUAGCCCCAAGAUUAGGAAUCGUUUCUGUCGCAAGACAGAUGAAGACCCCUAGCAGAUUACUAGGUCGCCCGUAAGGGCGAACCUCGUCAGCCGCAAGGUGAGACGGGUUAAUAGGCGGUCGGUGGAAGUUCCGUAAGGAAUUAAGCCUAGCCGUACUAAUUGGUCAAAAGUAAAAAACAU